This 253-nucleotide ribosomal RNA is filed under the name uncultured bacterium. RNAcentral's name for it is "partial 16S ribosomal RNA". It matches the Rfam family "Bacterial small subunit ribosomal RNA", at positions 524 to 776 of the family's 1533-position model. The record is from RNAcentral.
UACGGGGGGGGCAAGCGUUGUUCGGAAUUACUGGGCGUAAAGGGCUCGUAGGCGGCCAACUAAGUCAUACGUGAAAUCCCUCGGCUUAACCGGGGAACUGCGUCUGAUACUGGUUGGCUUGAGUGCAGGAGAGGAACGCGGAAUUCCAGGUGUAGCGGUGAAAUGCGUAGAUAUCUGGAGGAACACCGGUGGCGAAGGCGGCGUUCUGGACUGCAACUGACGCUGAGGCGCGAAAGCGUGGGGAGCAAACAGG